CCGAUAGCGCACAAGUAGAGUGAUCGAAAGAUGAAAAGCACUUUGGAAAGAGAGUUAAACAGUACGUGAAAUUGUUGAAAGGGAAGCGCUUGCAACCAGACUUGCGCGCUGUUGAUCAUCCGGGCUUUUGCCCGGUGCACUCGGCAGCGCUCAGGCCAGCAUCGGUUUUGGUGGGCGGAUAAAGGCCUUGGGAAUGUAGCUCUCUUCGGGGAGUGUUAUAGCCCUCGGUGCAAUGCGCCCUACCGGGACCGAGGACCGCGCUUCGGCUAGGAUGCUGGCGUAAUGGUUGUAAGCGACCCGUCUUGAAACACGGACCAAGGAGUCUAACAUCUAUGCGAGUGUUUGGGUGUCAAACCCAUACGCGUAAUGAAAGUGAACGGAGGUGAGAACCCUUAAGGGUGCAUCAUCGACCGAUCCUGAUGUCUUCGGAUGGAUUUGAGUAAGAGCAUAGCUGUUGGGACCCGAAA
This 467-nucleotide ribosomal RNA is filed under the name uncultured fungus. RNAcentral's name for it is "eukaryotic LSU rRNA". It matches the Rfam family "Eukaryotic large subunit ribosomal RNA", at positions 334 to 821 of the family's 3401-position model. Lineage: Eukaryota; Fungi. The record is from RNAcentral.